AACCAUUACGGUGUGAACACGCGAAAGUAUACGCUCAGUAAAAAUACAAAGUGAAAAGUGUUAGAUUCAAUUCAACAAUGAAGGGUGACAAAUACCAAGAGCGCUCCGACUCAGGCAUUAAAUAUGCGAUACUCGACGGGACCGCAAAGAAGAGAAAACGUGGUCGAAGAGCCGGACGCUACGUUCAAGCAAGAAGGCGCCGCCGUGAAUUAAACGUGCACAAACCCUCACGUAGCUUUGUACGAAGAAUUGGCUGCUGAAAUAGCGCUCAUAUCAACGUCAGGACGCUGCGUGCGGAGGUCCGCUGCUAUUGAUAUUCCGAAGCGCGAUUCUGCUGGAACCACAGCAACGUUCAACGACACAUCCUCUUCGUCGAGUGAAAGUAAAAACCUAGAGACAAUAGAAAUAGUUGAUUUGUGCGAUAGUGACGCCGAAACUGUAAUUAUGACGCCGCCGCAGGCAAUAGACAUUUUAGAUACGUCAAUAGCACGGAAAGUGUUCGAACAUCAUGAAAUUCCCGAUAAUAUAUUGUUAGAUUACGCGCGCCAUUCGCACGAGGAUCCAAACUUUGUACCGACAAGUGUAUGGAAUUGGUGCGAAUUUAGAUUCGAGACUCAGUAAAUUAAAUAUAAAUACGUAAGUUGGAUAUUCAAUAUCAUUUUCCAUUUUCAAAUCAAUCCCGCGAUAAAA
Molecule: long non-coding RNA, 690 nt
Organism: Osmia bicornis bicornis
Lineage: Eukaryota; Metazoa; Arthropoda; Insecta; Hymenoptera; Megachilidae
Exons: 3
Source: RefSeq, a predicted model, not a curated record